AGCCACCAUACCUACCUACUAUGGCAUUUUCAUUGCCAUUCCGAGAUAUAUUGCCAUGCAACUCCCACCGUUCCGUCUCAUGACUUGUGCCGUCACUCUCAUAUUGCCAUUGCAUGAUCAUAAGACAGCUAGCGAGAUGUUUCAACGUCAUACGCCAAGCUAGAUCGUUGAACAUCCCGGUACACUGCCGGAGGCAUUUCCUAUAGAGUCAUCAUCGUUCUAAGCUUUGAGCUGUGAGUAAAUAAAAGUGUGAUGAUCAUCAUUAUUAGAGCAUUGUCCCAUGUGAGGAAAUAAAAAAAUAGAGGCCAAAGUUGCCCACAAAAAAAGAGAUAUGGAAAGAGGCCGAAGAACCCAAACAAAAAAAAGAAAAAGAAAAAAAGAGAGAAAAUUAGAGAAGGGACAAUGCUACUAUCUUUUUCCACACUUGUGCUUCAUAAUAGCACCAUGUUCUUCAUGAUUGAGAGCCUCCUCGUUUUGUCACCACCAUAUACUAGUGGGAAUCUUUAUUAUAUAACUUGGCUUGUAUAUUCCAAUGAUGGGCUUCCUCAAAAUUGCCCUAGGUCUUCGUGAGCAAGCAAGUUGGAUGCACACCCACUAGUUCUCCUUUUGAGCUUUAACAUACUUAUAGCUCUAAGUGCAUCCAUUGCAUGGUAAUCCCUACUCUUUCACAUUGAUAUCUAUUAAUGGGCAUCUCCAUAGCCCUUUGAUACGCCGAGUCGAUGUGACCAUCUCCUCCUUUUUGUCUCACAACCUCCACCACACUCUAUUCCACCAUAGUGCUAUAUCCAUGGCUCAUGCUCAUGUAUUGCAUGAGAGUUGAAAAAGGUUUGAGAACGUAAGAGUGCGAAAACAAUUACUUCGCCAAUACCGGGGUUGUGCAUGAUUUAAAUUAGUUGUGUGGGGAUGAUGGAGCAUAGCCAGACUAUAUGAUUUUGUAGGGAUAACUUUCUUUGGCCUUGUUAUUUCGAAAGUUCAUGAUUACCUUGCUAGUUUACUUGAAGUAUUAUUGUUUUCAUGUCAAUAGCAAAUUAUUGUUUUUAAUCUUAUGUAUAGGAACAUUCAUGUCACAUGAAAGAAGUUACAAAGGACAACUAUGCUAGGUAGCAUUCCACAUCAAAAAUUAAGUCUCUAUCACUUCCCUACUCGAGGACGAGCGGGAGUUAAGCUUGGGAUGCUUGAUACGUCUGUAACGUAUCUAUACUUUUUGAUGGUUCCAUGCUAUUAUCUUGUCAAUCUUUGGAUGUUUUGUAUGCCUUUUAUAUCUUUUUUGGGACUAACUUAUUAACUCAGUGCCAAGUGCCAGUUUCUGUUUUUUUCGUGUUUUUGACCCUUUUCAGAGGAGAAUUUUAAACGGUGUCCAAACGGAAUAAAACUUCUGAUUUUUUUUCCGGAACAGAAGAUACGCACGGGACGUGAGAACCAAGGCAGAAGCCACCAGGGGACGCCACAAGCCCCCUAGGCGCGGCCAGGGGGGCCCGCGCCUAGCAGGCUUGUGGGCCCCGUGUGGCUCGUCCGCCCUACCUCUUCCGCCUAUAAAUUCCUGAAAAAUCCAAAACCGCGGGAGAGAUCCUUGAAAAUACUUUUCCGCCGCCACAAACUUCUGUCUCCGCAAGAUCCCAUCUAGGGAACGUUCUGGUGCCCUGCCGGAGGGGGGAUUCGGAUACGGAGGGCUUCUUAAUCAACACCAUGACCUCUCCGAUGAUGCAUGAGUAGUUUACCAUAGACCUUCGGGUCCAUAGCUAGUAGCUAGAUGGCUUAUUCUCUCUCUUGGAUCUUCAAUACAAAGUUCUCCAUGAUCUUCAUGGAGAUCUAUCCGAUGUAAUCUUAUUUUGUUGUGUGUUUGUCGAGAUCCGAUGAAUUGUGGAUUUAUGAUCAGUUUAUCUAUGAAUCUUAUUUGAGUUUCUUCUCAUCUCUUAUAUGCAUGAUUUCAUAUCCUUGUAAUUCUCUUCGAGUGAUGGGUUUUGUUUGGCCAACUUGAGCUAUGAUUCUUGCAAUGGGAUAAGUGCUUGGUUUUGGGUCCAUACCGUGCGGUGACCUCACCCAGUGACAGAAGGAGUAGCGAGGAACGCAUCGUGUUGUUGCCAUCAAGGGUAAUAAGAUGGGGUUUACAUCAUUGGUUUGAGUUUAUCCCUCUACAUCAUGUUAUCUUGCUUAAGGUGUUACUCUGUUUGUCAUGAACUCAAUACAAUAGAUGCAUGCUGGAUAGCGGUCGAUGUGUGGAGUAAUAGUAGUAGAUGCAGACAGUAUCGGUCUACUUGUCUCGGACGUGAUGCCUAUAUGUAUGAUCAUUGUCUUAGAUAUCGUCAUGACUUUGCGCGGUUCUAUCAAUUGCUCGACAGUAAUUUGUUCACCCACCGUAAUAUUUGCUACUUUGAGAGAAGCCUCUAGUGAACACUAUGGCCCCCGGGUCUACUUCACAUCAUAUUUUCAGCCUUUCACUUUUACUUCGUUGCACUUUCCGCCUUCAGUUCUCACUUUGCAAUCAAUCUUGAAGGGAUUGAUAACCCCUUUAUAGCGUUGGGUGCAAGCUCGUUUGUGUUUGCGCAGGUACUCUGGACACUUGGCUUGAUUAUCCUACUGGAUUGAUACCUUGGUUCUCAAACCGAGGGAAAUACUUACUGCUCGUGUGCUGUAUCACCCUUUCCUCUUCAAGGGGAAACCAAUGCAAGCUCAAGAUGCAGCAGAAGGAUUUCUGGCGCCGUUGCCGGGGACUUAUGGCGCCGUAGCAGCGGCCAACUCCAGUUCCAUGCUGGCGCGCUGCGCCGCGAGCAUGCCCAAGUUUAGGUUGCGAUACCAGGACUUGGCAAGGCGAAGCACCAUAUAUGCCCCAGCUUGUGCAGCUGACGCACACGAGGCGUCCAGCUGGGAAGUUCCUACCUCGAGCCAUCAGGACAGCCGGCUCAUUGACGCUGGCUCCACCGUGUCCGGCCAAAGGGCAUUCACCAUCGCCAACCCGGACUCCUGGAGCGAGGUCAGGGACUGCAACAGCUCCCACAUAUGGGCCCUGGCGGCAAGGGCCACCUCCUCCGCGGUCUAGCCGGCACUAAUAUUCACCAUGGCGCCGGCGGCACGUCGUUCUUUGCGAUGAGCCUCUACAGCCGUGUCCACCGCAUCUCAAUUCCCUAGAAAGAGAUGGUGGGGGGCAAUGGCGGGGUCAUGGCGUAAAGAAGGAGAAAAAAGAAUUCAACAAUAAAAAGACAAGAUGAGGCAGGGACGACUCACGGUUGAGAAGGAUGUCGACUUCGCCCGCCUCCUCCUCAACCUCGCGGUCCUGGACCGCACACUCCUAAGCCUGGCGAGCGAGCUUGUUCCCCAGGGCCUGUGUCGCCUUAACUUCCUUCGCCAGUUGAGCUUUCAUGUCCUUCAUGGCGGCGUCCUGCUGCGCCUUUUCGUCAAGGCGCAGCUUCUCCAAACGUUCAAGCUCGAUGGCUUGGGAGGCAUCCUUCCGCAACAUGUUGUCGUUGUGUCCGACGCGCAGCCGCUCCAGCUCCGUUUGAUGGGCCGCCUCGUGGUCCUUCUUCUCCAUCUGGAGAAGCUCUACUUCCUGACGUAGCCGGCCGCCCUCACCGCGCAAGGCGUCGCGCUCCGUGACGGCUCGGUCGAGCCGGCCUUGAAGGUCGCCUGUUUGUUCUAUGUAAUGAUCAUUGGCAUGAAUAAACAUUGCAUAACUAUGCGCUUUUAUACCAAUUUACCAACAAUAAUUUGUUUACCACCGUAUGCUUUUCUACCAAUUUAACAACAGUAAUAUGUUCACCCACCGUAUGUUUCCUACGGGAGACAAGCCUCUAGCGAAAACUAUCGCCCCGGGGUCUAUUCACAAAUAUAUUUACAAAAAUACUAAAUACUUCUUUGAAUUUUAUUAUUUGUAUUUAUUUUUUAUAUUUAAUAUAUUUUAGCUAUCUAUAUAUCACUACUUACCGUUUGCAAGUAACUAGUUCAAGGCGAUUGACAACCCUCUUGCUCGCGUUGGGUGCAAUUGUUUGCUAUUUUGUGUGUAGGCGCUGAACACAGGAAAAUGUGUCGUUCUUCUAUUGGUUUAAUAACCUUGGUUCUCACUGAGGAAAUACUUAUCUAUUCUCUGCUUCAUCAACUCCUCUUUGGGGAUAAAUCCAACGCAGAUCACAAUUAUCACGCGUGCGUUCCCACCCAACAUCGGCGGCCCACAUUCAUACCGAUGUAGAGCGGUCGCUCCGCAUUGAAGCCAUCCCGGAGCGGAUGUGGCAUCUCACUAGCACCGACGUUGAAGCGGUGCAUCGACCGACAGUGCCGCCCAUUGCACACCCGUGUGAGCAUGCCUCUUCGCUGCACUCAAACGCCUCUAUUAAACCCGCAUGUGUGCCAAGAAACCUAUUAUAGUAACAUGUCCAUUUGCGAGAUAGUCGGCCUUAAACACAACACCGGGAAAGCUCCCUGCGCCCGCCUGCUAUAUAAAGGAGGCCAGACGCUGGUAAAGGAUCGCACCACUCCUCCACUCCACAUCUCCCCCUUCCACCAUUUUCCCCCCCUUUCCAUGGCAUCCGACGAGUAGGAAGAGCAGUUGUCCAGUAUAAAAGUUGGUUGGGUGGCUCGCUGAGCCCUCUAGAUACGAACUAGGCAACUUGCUGCUCCUCCUCCCUCGCCGAGCUCGACAAAGAAAGUGGCCGCACCAAGCCGGCGCCUAGUUCAACAACUCUCUAUUCCAAGCCAGCUCACAGAGGAGUAGAGAGUUGCUCCAGACCGGCAUGGUGGAACUGACAUCAUGGCUGCCAUGGACGAGGCCAGGCGCCAAGCCAUCCAGCGUCGACUUUCGCGGAACCGCGUCGUGCUUGUGGACAAAGAAACUAGCUUGGAGAUUGACAAGGCUGCGGGGUUCGUGGGAGUUACCCGCAACUCUCAUACCAGUCGUGCAUGGCAAAAUUUUAGUCAUCGACUUGACUCAUUCCCGUAACCCACGGUGCCGCGCGGCGCAACGCGGCGCGGCGUGGCGAGGAGAGGCGGGCGACGGAGGAGCGCGCGUGUAUGUCUCUCUUGUUCUCAUGCUCAUACAUGUGUGAAACAUCAUCCCUUAUAAGGAGGUCCAACUCCUACCAAACUAGCAACGUGGGACUAAACUUUAGUUCCACCUCUUUCCUUGCACGAAUGGGAUAAGUGGGCCUCUAGGAUUUAUUGGAAAUUCUGAAGAAGAUCAUUGGGCUAGCCCAAAAUUAUUAAAUUCCAGCAAUCCCCCACCAGAUCCUAGAGGCACAAAAAAAUUGCCUUUGGUUCCAAAACACUGUUUAUAUACCGGUACUGCACAGGAGACUAUUAAGUUUAACUUCCACCUAGAACUAUAUGUUAUACUAGUAAGCAACUUGAAUAGUGGACUAUGCCUUGAACUGCAAGUUUUCUGUGAAUCUAGUUUCACAUAGAGCCUUGACUGAUACUAGGCUACCGUUGGUGGAGCUUAUGCGUCAUACUCCGAGGACUUUCAUAAGUUUACUAGAGAGCACCCUACUCUCAUAGAUUGCGAUGUUAACAAUCAGACUCAUGUAGGUGUGUUCUUCAAAAGAGUUCUGUAGGACAACAUCUCUGCUUCAACAAGACAUUUAGAACAUAUAAAGAUAUAUAUCAACCUUCCAUGCAUAUUAGGAAAGUAUUGCAUCUUCAUGGAGUGGUAUUAUCAAUGGUAAGGAUACUUUCCUCUCACUUGACCAACAACUUGUCUUCCACAUCUAAUUCACGGGAUCUCCGGUCACAUUGAAUAGUUUAGCACCGUGAACAACUCAUAUUGUGGGUCUCAUACCCAUCCCCUUCGAUGCAUUAUAUAUCACAUUACAAGAUAGACCCUUAGUAAAAGGAUAUGCCAAAUUUUUAGAUGUUUGGAUAUAAUCCAAUGAAAUAACUCCGGAGUUUCUCAUUUUCCUCACAGAGUUUAACCUUCACUGAACAUGUCUUGAUGACUUCAUGUUAUCCUAUGAACUACUCACUUUUGCACUUACAGUUUGAUUGUUGUGGUUCAUAAGAACACCUGGUGCAGGUUUCUCAACAAACUAUAAGUCAUUCAAGAGCCGACGAAGCCAAUCUUCUUCGCCAUAGCUGUAUCUAGUGUUGUGAGUUCUGCUUCCAUUGUUGACCUCGUUAAGAUUGUUUGCUUGCAAGACUUCCAAGAAACAGCGCCACCACCAUGAGUAAAUACAUAUCCGCUCGUGGCCUUUAUCUCAUCAGCAUGAGAGAUCCAGUUUGAGUCACUAUACCCUUCAAGUACCUUUGGGUACCGAGUGUAUUGAAUUCCAUAACUCGUAGUGCCCUUCAAAUAGCGCAUAACUCUUUCUAGAGCUUUCCAAUGAUCAUCUCCUGGUUUUGAGACAAACCGGCUCAGCUUGCUAGCAGCAAAAGAGAUGUCACGUCUCGUAGCGCUUGCUAAAUACAUGAGCGAGCCAAUUAUUUGGGAUUAUUUCAAUUGAUCUCUAGCAAUUAUUCGAUUCUUUCGAAGCAACACGCUAGCAUCAUAAGGUGUUGGAGAAGGCUUGCAGUUAGUAUAACCAAAGUGACUCAAGAGAUUUUCCACAUAGUGAGAAUGAAGCAAAGUAAUCGCACCGUCAUCACUUCUCAGCAGCUUGAUAUUCAGAAUAACAUUAGCUAAUCCUAAAUCCUUUAUCUCGAAACAACGAGAUAGGAAAUCCUUGACUUCCUUAAUAACAUUCAUAUUUGUUCCGAAAAUCAAUAUGUCUUCAACAUAUAAGCAGAGGAUAACUCCCUCGCCCCCACCAUGGCGAUAGUACACACAUUUGUCAGCUUCGUUUACAACAAAGCCUACACCUAUUAAAGUUCUUUCAAACUUCUCAUGCCACUUCUUAGGUGCUUGCUUAAGUCCAUACAAUGACUUCAAAAAUUUGCACACUUUUCCCUCAUGACCGUCCAUUAUAAAUCCAUAUGGUUGUUCCAUAUAAAUUUCCUCGUCCAACUCUCCAUUUAGGGAAGCAGUCUUAACUUCCAUUUGGUGGACGAGAAUACCAUGUGAAGCUCCUAGUGAAAGAAGUACUAGAAUAGUGGUCAGUCGAGCCAUAGGUGAGUAAGUGUCAAAGAAGUCUUCACCUUCCUUUUGGGUAUAACCUUUGGCCACGAGUCAUGCCUUGUACUUCUCAAUAGUACUAUCAGGCCUAAGAUUCUUCUUGAAUACCCAUUUGCAGCCUAUAGGUUUGCACACAUAGGGACAAUCAGUUAUCUCACAAGUUUCAUUUGCGAGGAUGGAAUCCAUCUCACUACAAACCGCUUCCUUCUAGUAGUCAGCAUCUUCAGAUACAUAAGCCUCUGAAAUAGAACUGGGAGUGUCUUUUAUGAGAUAUACAAGAAAAUCAUCACCAAAGGACUUUGUAGUCCUUUGACUCUUGCUCCUUUUAGGAUUCUCCUUGUUGUUCUCCACAGGAUCUUCAAGAUGUUGUGUUGCAAUAGUCGGUUCAGAAGGUGCACCUACAUCUUGACUCGAUAAGCUAGGCAUCUCCUGAUUUGAUGCGCUAGCCAUAUCCUUAAUGGGAAAUAUAUCUUCAAAGAAGGUCACAUCAUUCCACUCCAUGAUUGUGCCAACAUGCAUGUCAGAUACCUCAUAUUUUAUAAUCAAGAAUCUACAACCAAUGCUAUGAAAAUAUACCCCAGGAAAACAUAAUCCACAGUUUUUGGCCCAAGCUUUCGCUUCUUUGGAAUUGGUAUAUUGACUUUUGCCAAGCAGCCCGAAGUUCAUAGGUAAGAGAGUUUUAACCUUUUCUUCUCCCAUUCCUCAAAUGGAGUUAUCUCUUUGUUCUUUGUGGGAACUCGGUUUAGGACAUGACAUGCAGUCAAAAUCGCAUCCCCCACCAUGCCUUGGAGAGACCUGAUAUGACUAAAAUGGCGUUAACAAAAUCAGUUGGAGUGUGGUUCUUCAUUUCAGCUACCCCAUCUGACUGAGGUGAAUAGGGAGGCGUUCUCUCAUGGAUUAUACCAUGUUCGGCACAAAAAGAAUCAAAUUCAUUGAAAAAAUACUCUCCACCAUGAUCAGACCUAAGCCUCUUAAUUUUCUGAUCAAGUUUGUUUUCCACUUUAGCUUUAUAGAUCUUGAAGAAAUUCAAAGCCUCAUCUUUAGAUUUUAAAAGAUACAGAUGGUACCAUCUAGUGGAGUCAUCGAUUAAUGUCAUAAAAUAUGACUUUCCACCUUUCGUCAAAAACACUGUUCAUUUCACAAAGAUCUGAAUGUAUGAGUUGUAGUGGCGCAAGAUUUCUUGUUUCUGCAGUUGCAUGAGACUUACGAGGUUGCUUAGCUUGCACACAAACUUGACCCUUAGAUCCCUUGAUAGAAGUGAAGUUCAGGAUCAAGUUCAACUUGACUAGCCGCGUCAUAGAACCAAAAUUAACAUGACAAAGACGUGAAUGAAAGACAUUUGAUUCUCUAUUAUUGCAAACGUGAUUAAACCCUUUAUUACAAAACAUCUAAUAAAGAUAGUCUGAACAAGCCUCCUGACUCAUAACCUUUACCAAGAAAAGUUCCAUACUUGGAUAUAAAAUUUAUUGGACUGAAAGACAAACUUGUAGCCAUCUCAACAUAGAGGAGAUCCACUAACAAGAUUUUUAUUAUCGGAGGGUACAUAAUGCAUGUUCUUCAGCCGCAUUAUUUUUCCUGAAGUAAACUUCAGAUCGACCGUGCCAACACCACGAACAUAAGCACUUGAACCGUUUCCCGCCAGGAUGGAGGUAGUCCCUGCGGCCUGAUAUGAAGAAAACAUAGAAAUAUCACCGCAUAUAUGCACAUUAACACCCGUAUCAAUCAACCAAUCAGGAGAACGACAUAGUGAGAGAAUAGUGGGAAGUAUACCAUACCCAACAUCCUGCAUCUCAGCAUCACCAAUGAUAACAUUAGCAAUCUUGUCGCCUUUCCCAUGUUGACGCUUUUCAUAACGGUUAGGGCAACUAGGUGCCCAAUGAUGAGGAUCUCCGCAAACAUGACAAACACCUUUCUUUUUGUCAGUCUUCUUCUUGAGUGUGCUGUGAAGCCUUGUUCUUCCCAUCAAACUUUCCCUUACCAUCAAAUUUGCCCUUGUUAUUGAACUUGUGGGGUUGGAAGUUUUUCUUCUGCACCAGAUUGGCACUAGAACCUCCUUCCAUACCUCAAGCAUGUAUGUCUUGCCUUUUCUUCCACAUCAAGAUUACCAAUGAGAUCCGGAACGGAAAACUCCUUCCUCUUAUGAGUGGGAGAGGUAGCAAAGUUCCUCCAUGAAGGAGGAAGCUUAGUAAUAAUACCUCCGGCAACAAACUUCACCGGUAACAUACAAUUGAAGUUCUCAAGUUCUCCAGCAAAUGAUUGUAUCUCGUGAGCUUGUUCAACCACAGAACGCUCAUCAGUCAUCUUUAUUCAUAGAAUUGUUCCAUGAUAUACAGCUUAGUGCCAGCAUUCGAGACUCCAAACUUGGCCUCGAGCACGCUCCACAUAUCUUUCCAUUGUCAAUUGACGCAUAAGCAUCAACAAUGUUCUCACCAAGAAUACUCAAGAGAGCAUCCUUAAACAAGGUAUCAAUUUUCUGAAAAGCGAAUUCCUGUUGAGGAUCAAGAAUUCCUUCAGGUUUGCCAAGAGUGGCAUCGUAGCAGCUCAUGGUUUGAAACCAUAGAACAUCCCUUACACACCAUCUCUUAUAGUGCACACCCUCGAACAUAGGAGGCCUCAUGGAAGCAGCAAAACCACUCGGGGUAAAUUUCCUAAAAUAAGGUCUUCGGAUUGUUGGAAAUAUGAGCGAUUUACCAAGUGAUUUUACUAGCAGAAAUAGUAGAUGAAUCAUGACUACCAUAGCAAUUAUAAGACAAGCCAGUCGAUUAUACACAGAGUAUGCAAGUAGCAUAUGAAGUGAUGAGCAGGAACGAAACAUAUCUAGAAAAGAAACUAUAACAAGAAGUUGUGGCAGGAACUCAAACAAGAAGAACACGAGAACAUACUGAGUUGGAGCAGCAGCUAUAGUGGGAUUUGCGUUGACGUCGUCAUUGGCCAUGUUGCCGAAGAGGCUGUCGAUGUCGGGGAAGAAGUCGUCAUCCGGGAAGUAGUCGUCAGCGUUCGUGAUGGAAAAGCCAGUAGUCGCAUUGAGCGCUCCCCAAAAACCUUAUCGCCCUUCUCCAGUACAUGACUCAAAGAGACGGGGUUUCGGAGGCCUACUGUUCCGACCUGCGGUGCACGUCGCAAGCCGGGGCGGGGAAAAGCUAGCAGUAGCUCAGAGAUUGGAACUCGUUGGCAUGAGGAAGAUGGUAUUCUCGUGUGUCUCUCUGGAGAGGAGCGACCUGUCUUUUAUAGGCCCAUGAGAAGGAGGCAGGCACGCAACAUCGGGAGGCGAAGCAAAAGAGAUUGCAGUCAGGUUGAUAAUAGUCGAGUGACAUUACUUCGUCGGUCCAAACUAAGGAAUCUGUUAUAAAUGUUUUGAAAUAGAUAUUGUUCUCUCUUUGAUCAGGGAUUGCUAUAUGAAAAUAAGUGGAGUUUGAAAAAGGGAACGAAAUGCUCAAACCGGAACUGCUAGAGGAACGAAUUUUCAAUAGCAUAACUUGGGCUCCUAGAAUAUGGUGCCCUUGAGACAAUCUAUUUGAUUGCAGGGUUUUGUUCUGAAGCAAAGAUAUCCGCAGAGGACGGUUCGUUCGUCCUAUUCUGAUAUUCAGGACCAAGAGGUACUGCAUUCUCUGGCUGAAAUGCCAACGGAACUCUGUCUAUUCUCUAAUUCACCCGAUCCGAUAGUACCUGUUUUUGGAACGUCCAGUGCCAAAGUCAUUGAAUGGGUAAGUCACGAAUCCAAUCCCUUUGACAAAUCGGAUGUCAUAUUAUAUAUCAUAUCCUAUAUAUAUAUAUAGAAAUAUCAUAGAUACCCCGUUUCGUGACGAGGCGAGACGGGCGGCGGAGGAGGAGGAGCGUGCGUGUAUGUCUCUCUUGUUCUCAUGCUCAUACAUGUGUGGAAACAUCCUUUCUUAUAAGGAGGUCCAACUCCUACCAAACUAGCAAUGUGGGACUAAACUUUAGUCCCUCCUCUUGCCUUGCACGAGUGGGCUAAGUGGGCCUCUAGGAUUUAUUAGAAAUUCUGAAAAAGGUCAUUGGGCUGGCCCAAAAUUAUAAAAUUCUAGCACAUAAUUGGGGGGGGGGGUAUACCUCUGGGGCUCCCGAUAGUCCGAUGAGCAGGCUGCCGGACAUGAGGCAGACAAAGGGAUCCGCAGCGCUCGGCCAUAGAUUAGUGUAGGGUAUCCAUGUCGUUAGAAUGGAGCUCCACGCGACCAGACGUGCACAUAGUUUUACCUAUUUUAGUUCAAAUAUGUCCAAAAUGCAAUGAAUUUAGUCCGGUUUAUAUGAAAUCCGUUGUGUUUGCAUGAGUUUCAUCUGCUUUGUUGGAAAAGUGUUUGAAAUAUACUUCCUCCGUUCCAAAAUAUAAGACCUUUUAGGAAUUUCACUAUAAGACUACACACGGAGCAAAAUGAGUGAAUCUAUACUCUAAAAUAUGUCUAUGUACAUCCGUAUGUAGUUUAUAGUGCAAUCUCUAAAAGGUCUUAUAUUUAGGAACGGAGGGAGUAUGUGAGUAACGAUGGAUGACCGACAACACUCGAGAAUAUCAUUUUUGGUGGUGCUCCUCAGGUGCCGAGUCAUCACUUUCAAGGUGAAAACCUAAGGUCUAACUUUCGUUUUGUGCCUUAUAUUAGAGUAUUUAACCAAAAACCACCAUAAUUCAUGGAAACGUGCCUAGAAACUACUACUAUACGUUUUUGUGCCGAAAGCUACCAUUUUUAUCCUAAUCAGUGGCAAAAAACUACCAAGUGUGAAUAUUGCUCCAUUAGCCUCUUUGAAAUGCCUUUUAUCCUAAUCCGUUAACUACUCCAUUAACCUACCUGGCGCAGCCCCGCCGCCGUCGCCAUGGCCUCGCCCAAAGCGGCGGCCGCCCCGUGCCUCGCCGUCGGCAGGCCUCCUUGUCGCCGACCACGUCGCCGUCGGAUCCCGGCGUCCUGCGAACCGCCCCACGCUGCCAGUCUCCAUGCCCUCGCACCGAGCGGCGGCCGCCCCGCGCCUCGCGGCCGAAGGCCUCCCGUCGUGGACCCUGCCGUGGUUGGAUCCCACCGCCUCGCCUCCCUGGCGCAGCCUCGUUGCCCCGUGAACCGCCCCGCGCCGUCCAUCGCCAUGGCCUCGCCUCGAGCGGUCGUCGCCAGCGUCUCGCCGUCACCAGAUCCGGCAGGCGUCGCCCUGGUUCCGCCUCUCCCGGACCUCCCCGCCGCCCUGCUCAUGCCGGAGUGCUGCGUGUAGAUCGCGUCGUCUCCUCCAGAUCCGGUCGCACCGCCGCCGUACUUCAUCUUCUCCACCUCCGGUGAAGGCCGCCGCCGUCUCGAUCUCUUUCUCCGGUGACGGCAAACUUAACGGUGCUGACUUUUCCGUCCUGACAUGUGGGCCAACCCUGUCAUAAUGAGUUUAAACGAGCCAAAUGAGGCGUUUUGCAGACUUGAUUGUUUUUAGUCACAGAUUAGCAAAAAAAAAUUGAUAGUUUUUGGCGCAAAAACGAAUUGUGAUAGUUCCUGGGCACGUUGGCGUGAAUUGUAGUAGUUUUUGAUUAAAUACUCCUCAUAUUACCUUGAUGAAGGUAUUGUUUCGAGAGCUCGGUCUUUUUAAGGGAGAAAACCUAAGAUCUUGGAUCGGACGACGAUGACGCUUGUGCACCGAUUUUUUUUUAAAGGCAUCAUUUUUUAGGAUGGUUUGAGUGUCGCUGCUGCUGAGAAGAGUUGUUCACUGUGACGAGUAGUUGAAAAUGCUCUUACUAUUACAUUUUUCUUUCAAACACGUUACAGUUUACUCCCACCUCAAGUAGUUCCGAGCUACUGUACGUAGUAGCCACACACAUGGAGCGACUCACUCACCUCCAACCAAUUUAACUUUCGUGAAUCUUUGAUCGCUUUUCAUUUGGCCCAGCUCGACGUCACGCGGAUGUCCCCGAUGGAUCUCGCCGGCCACACGCCCCUCGACGACGACGAGAUGAGCAGCGUGUGAUCCUCGUCGCCCCGUCCAUCCAACCGAAGAUAAGACGCCCACUCCCUCCCCUCCACAUGGCACCCACCCUCCAAUCCCUUACUUAUUCCCGCCCCCCUCACUCCUCCAUCCCCUAGCUCCACCUCUCAUCCGCUCCUCAGCCACACCUAGAGCAUCUUAGCUCCAGCUAGCCACCAAUGGCCGCCGCACUGAGCCUCCGCGCGCCCUUCUCCGUGCGCGCUGUGGCGCCACCGGCGCCCCGCGUGGCCCUUGCGCCCGCGGCCCUCAGCCUCGCCGCCGCCAAGCAGGUGCGGGGAGCCAGGCUCCGCGCGCAGGCGACGUACAAGGUGAAGCUGGUGACGCCCGAGGGCGAGGUGGAGCUGGAGGUCCCCGACGACGUCUACAUCCUGGACCAGGCCGAGGAGGAGGGCAUCGACCUGCCCUACUCCUGCCGCGCCGGCUCCUGCUCCUCCUGCGCCGGCAAGUUGGUGUCCGGCGAGAUCGACCAGUCCGACCAGAGCUUCCUCGACGACGACCAGAUGGAGGCAGGGUGGGUGCUCACCUGCCACGCCUACCCCAAGUCCGACAUCGUCAUCGAGACCCACAAGGAGGAGGAGCUCACCGCAUAAGCUGCUUACCCUGCCUCUCUUUGCAACAAGAUCGAGCUGAUAUCAUAUUAUCUCCCAUCAUGCAUGCAUGCAUGGAUAUCGCCAGAUACACCGAUUUGUUUGUGCUCGAAUGAAUUGCUCGAUGCAUGGUUUGCUCCAGUAAUAAUGUCUUCGAAUUACUACCUUUUUGUACCGUAAGAUAUACUACUGUCGUAAUACUAGCGUGUACUUAAUUCAACGUACUGAAAUGAAUCCUGAU
This 13816-nucleotide long non-coding RNA is filed under the name Hordeum vulgare. RNAcentral describes it as "long non-coding RNA (HVUL_LNC019543)". Lineage: Eukaryota; Viridiplantae; Streptophyta; Magnoliopsida; Poales; Poaceae. The record is from RNAcentral.